RNAcentral lists this ribosomal RNA (385 nucleotides) under uncultured bacterium. Its description in RNAcentral is "bacterial SSU rRNA". It matches the Rfam family "Bacterial small subunit ribosomal RNA", at positions 28 to 409 of the family's 1533-position model. The record is from RNAcentral.
GAUGAACGCUAGCGGCAGGCUUAAUACAUGCAAGUCGAGGGGCAGCAUGGUGUAGCAAUACACUGAUGGCGACCGGCAAACGGGUGCGUAACACGUACGCAACCUUCCCGUUACUGGGGAAUAGCCCAGGGAAACUUGGAUUAAUACCCCAUAUUAUAUGGACCGGGCAUCUGGUUCAUAUCAAAGAUUCAUCGGUAACGGAUGGGCGUGCGGUUGAUUAGGUAGUUGGCGGGUAACGGCCCACCAAGCCUACGAUCAAUAGCUGAUGUGAGAGCAUGAUCAGCCACACGGGCACUGAGACACGGGCCCGACUCCUACGGGAGGCAGCAGUAAGGAAUAUUGGGCAAUGGACGGAAGUCUGACCCAGCCAUGCCGCGUGGAGGAU